Molecule: long non-coding RNA, 1393 nt
Filed under: Salmo trutta (river trout)
Lineage: Eukaryota; Metazoa; Chordata; Actinopteri; Salmoniformes; Salmonidae
Description: lncRNA (ENSSTUG00000008421.1)
Source: RNAcentral
AUGGACUCAAUGCCUUUAAUACGAGGUGUUUUAUUGCGAAAUGACGACUCGCCUUAUCAAAACAACCGAGAAUUCGCAACGAGAAUUUCUUAUCCUAGCCCUGAGUCACCGUCUCCUCAAGUACCCGAUAUCACAGAGACCAGCGCUGGUCUGGAGUGGUUUGAAAUGGGCCUAGCGACCUCAUCUGGUCCCGCGAGGAGCACAACAGACCAGGGAGUGCCGCGGUCUCCUUAUGUCACUGGAUCAGUCAGCACCCAAAACUCUCCACUCAGCAACUUUGCAGUUCCAUCCACCCCAGUGCAGAGCUGGGGGAUCCCCCUUAAUCUGGAGGAGGAUCCAUGGACGGCUAGUCCUACACAGCGCAGAACACAACCAUCCCCCCUGGCUCAAACUGUCCCUGUUAUCAGAGAGAGGGGGGUUUAUGCACUAGCCCAGCCAGUGAGAAGCGGAUCUGAAGAGGACCUAUCCAGUAAAGAAGGAUCUCUCUGAUUGGCUCAGUUUCAACGGUCCAUCGGACGUACUCAGGCUUGGCGUCGGGUUCAGAACAGGAGCAGAGCAGCAGGACAGGCUGACCAGGAUAGGCAGUCAUCUGUGUCACUUCAGGGCCUGACAGAGUACAGCCUAUAGAAACAGACAGCACAGAGACAGACCAGUGUGAGGGGGAGGUAGUGCUGUAAUUGUCACCUAUAGACCAAGUACCUUUGACAGCCUGUCAGGAUGUGCUGUAGCAGGCCACACCCACACGGAUAAUGCAAAAAACAAAAAUGGUUGUUGAUAUGGUAAAAAAAAAAGUGAGUCAAAGGCCCCAUUUUUACCAUUAUGUUGAAAUAUAUGACACUUUGGACUGUAUUGAAAUGCAGUAAACAUUAUACACAAAAAGUGGUCAUUUCAAAUAACACUUGGAGUGCAGAUUUUUCAUAUUGAUGUUUCAAUUUGAUGUAAUAAUGUGCAUUCAUUGUUGUUAGAGCUAUCCAAAUUAUUAUAAAAGCCAGUUGAGAGGUGCACCUAUUUAUUCUUGUCACACCACAAGCAUAUGUUCAGACUUAUCUGCAGCGAUGUGAUGGACUGAGCUGAUUAGACACAGACAUCAACAUGGUGACUGUCCUCUCCAAUCCAAAAAACAUACUGUACUUAUAGUGCAAAAUCUCAAUCUAUUCACUACUCUAUAUUCUAGUGAGAUACUGUAAGUAGACCCGGCUAAGCAGCAUGUAGUUUUAUCAUAAGAGGUGAAGAGAAGUGAAAUGCUAAUUUUAGGAAAUGACAAGGGAUUAGAUCGGUUUAAACCACAUUCUGUACUAUUUACAUGGCCACUGAAUGUUUAUCUAGUCUAAAAGUUUAUUUUAAAUAUCUGUCAUUUGUCUUAAUCGGUACAGUAAAAAAUGUAAAACACGGU